Molecule: ribosomal RNA, 497 nt
Filed under: uncultured bacterium
Lineage: Bacteria
Description: partial 16S ribosomal RNA
Rfam family: Bacterial small subunit ribosomal RNA
Source: RNAcentral
GAUGAACGCUGGCGGCGUGCCUAAUACAUGCAAGUCGAGCGAACAGACGAGCAGCUUGCUCCUCAUUCGUUGGUGUCGGACGGGUAAGUAACACAUGGACAACCUACCUAUUAUCCUUGGAUAACUUCUGGAAACCGGAGCCAUUACCGGCUUCUAUAUUGAACCUCAUGGUUCAAUACUUUAAGGCUGUUUUUCUUGCACUUUUUGAUGGAUCCGCCGCGCCUUAUCUAGUUGGUAAAGUGACGGCUUACUACGGCAACGAUGCGUAGCCGACCUCAGAGGGUGAUCGGCGACAAUGGUACUGAGACACGGUCCAGACUCAUACGGGAGGCAGCAGUAGGGAAUCUACCGCAAUGAGCGAGAGCCUGACGAAGCAACGCCGCGUGAGGGAUGAAGAUCUUCGGAUCGUAAAACUCUAUUAUUAGGGAAGGACAAAUGUGUAAGUAACUAUGCACGUCUUGACGGUACCUAAACAGAAAGCUACGGCUAACUACGUG